UACGUAGGAGGCAAGCGUUGUCCGGAUUUACUGGGUGUAAAGGGUCCGCAGGCGGGUAUGUAAGUCGGUGGUGAAAUCCUACAGCUUAACUGUAGAACUGCCUCCGAGACUGCGUAUCUUGAAUGUAGGAGAGGGCAAUGGAAUUCCAGGUGUAGCGGUGAAAUGCUUAGAUAUCUGGAAGAACACCGGUUGCGAAGGCUGUUGCCUGGCCUAUCAUUGACGCUCAGGGACGAAAGCGUGGGGAUCAAAC
RNAcentral lists this ribosomal RNA (250 nucleotides) under uncultured bacterium. Its description in RNAcentral is "partial 16S ribosomal RNA". It matches the Rfam family "Bacterial small subunit ribosomal RNA", at positions 524 to 773 of the family's 1533-position model. The record is from RNAcentral.